This 229-nucleotide ribosomal RNA is filed under the name uncultured bacterium. RNAcentral describes it as "partial 16S ribosomal RNA". It matches the Rfam family "Bacterial small subunit ribosomal RNA", at positions 568 to 796 of the family's 1533-position model. The record is from RNAcentral.
UGCGUAGGCGGAUUGAUAAGUCAGUGGUGAAAACCUGCAGCUUAACUGUAGAAUUGCCAUUGAUACUGUUAGUCUUGAGUACGGUCAAGGUAGGCGGAAUGUGUAAUGUAGCGGUGAAAUGCUUAGAUAUUACACAGAACACCGAUUGCGAAGGCAGCUUACUGGGCCAUUACUGACGCUGAGGCACGAAAGCGUGGGGAGCGAACAGGAUUAGAUACCCUGGUAGUCC